This 1582-nucleotide long non-coding RNA is filed under the name Ananas comosus (pineapple). RNAcentral describes it as "long non-coding RNA (ACOM_LNC032034)". Lineage: Eukaryota; Viridiplantae; Streptophyta; Magnoliopsida; Poales; Bromeliaceae. The record is from RNAcentral.
CAUCUUUAACUUUUAAUUUUUUGUUUAUUUUUUAUAAGGGUUAAUUAUAUGCAGCUAUUUGUAAAUAUAGCGAAUUACAAAUAUAUUCAUGCACAGUUUAUUUCCUUAUAUUAUUCCAACAAAAGUUCUAAUAUUUUCAAAUAUGUCCCUACUGAAUCCGUUGGAAAAUUUUAAUUAACUAUAGUUAAAAUACUUACUCUUGGUUAGUCAAUUAGAUAAAUUGACAUUUUUAUCCUUCUCAUAUUAUAUUCUUCCAAUCAAAACUUUAGCAAUGAAAACUCGUUUUCUUAUUCUUCCUCUUCUUCUUUCUUUUUCUCCUUCAUGCUAGGUUCGAACACUUAACUAGAAUUUCUCCGUCCUCAUUCAUCCACGACACCAGUUACUUCGCCCACGUCGAACCCGUGUUGCUUUCCCAUUCAAUUUCUUUUAUAUUUUUUUUGAUUUUGCUAAAAAAAAGGUUUAAGAGAAAAUAAGUGAGAGAAGAGGUUGCAAUAAUGGUGGAUUAGGCUGAGUUUUAAAGAGUAAGAAGAUGAGAAAGAAAAUAACUAUUGAAAAUUUUUUGAAAAUAUAUUUCUACAUGACUACAGUAGUUAGGGCUUUUGGCAUGACAUAUUUAUGAUGGUAAAAUUGAAAUUUCACUUAUCUGUGUUAAAAAAUAGGGUUAAUUGUAUACAUCUUUCUGCAAAUAUAGCGAAUUAUAAAUAUAUCCUUAUAAAGUUUAAUUUUCUUAUAUUAUCCCUAUAAAAGUACAGCGAUAUUCAUAUUUGUCCAUCUACUUUGUUACCGUUAGACAACUAUUUAUUUUUUGAUAGUAGAUAAGUGAAAUGUCAAUUUUGCCAUAAAAAAUAUGUCCUUCUAAAAGCCCCAAUUGCUAUAAUCGUGCAGAAAUAUCCCGCCAAAAUAUUUUUAAUGGUCAUCUUUUUUCUCAUCUUCUUUCUCUUUAAAACCAACCCAAUCCACCAUUAUUGCAAUAUUUUCUCUCACUUUUUUUCUCCUAAACUUUUUCUUUUGAACAAAAUAAAAAAAAAUUACAAAAAAAAUCGAAUGAGGAAGCAACAUGCGCUCAACAUAGGCGAAACAACACACGUCGUGGAUGUAUGGGGAUGCAUAAAUUCUAGUUACAGGUUUAAAGCUAGCAUGAAGAAGAGAGAAGAAAAGGUAGAGGAAGAGAAAGAAGAAGAAGGGUUUCCAUUACUUGGGUUUUGAUUGAGAGAAGAAGGCAUAAUAUAAGAGAGGUAAAAAUAUCAAUUUACCUUAUUAACUAAUCAGGAUUAAGUAUUUAAUUAUAGUUAACUAAAUAUUUCUAACGGAUUCUAAUGGUGUGGACAUAUUUAAAAAUAUUAGAACUUUUACAGAGAUAACAUGAGAAAGUUAAAUUUUAUAGGAAUAUAUUUAUAAUUCGCUAUAUUUAUAAGGACCAAUAUGCAAUUAACCGAAAAAAUAAAUAGUUCGAAUAUCAAUGGACUUUUGCAGGAAUAACAUAAAAAAGUUGAACUUUGUAGUAAUAUAUAUUCAAUUCGCUAUGUUUACAGAGAGCUUUAUGCAAUUAACCCUUUUUAUAAUUAACUAAGCCAAAAAUGUU